AUAACACGAGAGUCGAAAAGACACUCGGAGCGCGGUCUAGUCUCGGGAGGACGUGGUUUUCGGCGCAAGUUCGUCUUGCUGCCCCGGACAAUGUAUCCGGCGGAAAAUCCAGACCUGCAAUUUUAAAUGCAAGACGAAAGUCUUGCAUUUUUUU
RNAcentral lists this small RNA (154 nucleotides) under Aureimonas sp. Leaf460. RNAcentral describes it as "Alphaproteobacterial sRNA ar9". It matches the Rfam family "Alphaproteobacterial sRNA ar9". The record is from Rfam by way of RNAcentral. Lineage: Bacteria; Pseudomonadati; Pseudomonadota; Alphaproteobacteria; Hyphomicrobiales; Aurantimonadaceae.